GGGUGAGUAACACGUGGGUAACCUGCCCAUCAGAAGGGGAUAACACUUGGAAACAGGUGCUAAUACCGUAUAACAAUCGAAACCGCAUGGUUUUGAUUUGAAAGGCGCUUUCGGGUGUCGCUGAUGGAUGGACCCGCGGUGCAUUAGCUAGUUGGUGAGGUAACGGCUCACCAAGGCCACGAUGCAUAGCCGACCUGAGAGGGUGAUCGGCCACAUUGGGACUGAGACACGGCCCAAACUCCUACGGGAGGCAGCAGUAGGGAAUCUUCGGCAAUGGACGAAAGUCUGACCGAGCAACGCCGCGUGAGUGAAGAAGGUUUUCGGAUCGUAAAACUCUGUUGUUAGAGAAGAACAAGGAUGAGAGUAACUGUUCAUCCCUUGACGGUAUCUAACCAGAAAGCCACGGCUAACUACGUGCCAGCAGCCGCGGUAAUACGUAGGUGGCAAGCGUUGUCCGGAUUUAUUGGGCGUAAAGCGAGCGCAGGCGGUUUCUUAAGUCUGAUGUGAAAGCCCCCGGCUCAACCGGGGAGGGUCAUUGGAAACUGGGAGACUUGAGUGCAGAAGAGGAGAGUGGAAUUCCAUGUGUAGCGGUGAAAUGCGUAGAUAUAUGGAGGAACACCAGUGGCGAAGGCGGCUCUCUGGUCUGUAACUGACGCUGAGGCUCGAAAGCGUGGGGAGCAAACAGGAUAGAUACCCUGGUAGUCCACGCCGUAACGAUGAGUUAAGUGU
Molecule: ribosomal RNA, 729 nt
Filed under: Enterococcus faecium
Lineage: Bacteria; Bacillati; Bacillota; Bacilli; Lactobacillales; Enterococcaceae
Description: bacterial SSU rRNA
Rfam family: Bacterial small subunit ribosomal RNA
Source: RNAcentral